Long non-coding RNA from Bos grunniens (domestic yak), 559 nucleotides. NCBI's taxonomy places the organism in Eukaryota, Metazoa, Chordata, Mammalia, Artiodactyla, Bovidae. The record is from Ensembl.
AUGACAAAAAAAAUGCAGAGGCAUAGACAAGGAAAUUUGCUGAUUUUUAUGUUUUUUGUUAUUUUUUCAUAUGGCGUGGAAAUCCGUGGUCCUUUGAGAAAAGCGAGAGCCAGCUAUUCAAUACCAAAAGACAGGACACAAGACACUGGAAAAAGAGAUACAGGAGACUUCCCUGGAGUAACUGUUCAUGUCUGGCUGGGCUGGAGCAAAGGAUUUCAAGAAUGGGAGCAAAGAGGGAUCUCCUGGAAAACCUGCUGCUUUCCGCUCUCCUCCCCUGGAGAAGUUGAAAAGGAAGAAAACCAUCAUCCUGUUUGUUCUUGUGUCAUGUGCUAUUAUGUUCCCUUACUUCUCCCUGCAGAUAACUUUAGGGAAAUACUUCUCUGCUGAACCUUUGAAAGCCCUCAUGCCAGUGGCCUUUCUCAUCAGAUGUCUGAAGGAGACAGAUUCUGAGGAUCAGUGUCCUGUUGACUGAUGGAGCUUCUACUCCAGGUUCAAGGGCAGCGGUCCUCAGGAGACCCCAGCACUUAACAUCUUCAGUUGGAUAUGACACAUGACUCAA